GGGGAUUUAGUUCAGUGGUGCAGCACCUGCCUGGCAAGUGUGAGGUCCUGAGUUCGAUUCCUGGUAUCCCCC
This 72-nucleotide transfer RNA is filed under the name Cavia porcellus (domestic guinea pig). It matches the Rfam family "tRNA". Rfam says of the family: Transfer RNA (tRNA) molecules are approximately 80 nucleotides in length. Their secondary structure includes four short double-helical elements and three loops (D, anti-codon, and T loops). The record is from Rfam by way of RNAcentral. Lineage: Eukaryota; Metazoa; Chordata; Mammalia; Rodentia; Caviidae.